CCUACGGGAGGCAGCAGUGAGGAAUAUUGGUCAAUGGGAGAGAUCCUGAACCAGCAAAGCCGCGUGAGGGAAGACGGCCCUAUGAGUGGUAAACCUCUUUUGUCGGGGAACAAAACCCGGGGCGUAUCCCUGAAUGCGUGUAUCCGAAGAAACAGCAUCGGCGAACUCCUUGCCAGCAGCCGGGGUAAUACGGAGGAUGCGAGGGUUAUCCGGGUUGAUUGGGUUUAAAGGGUGCGUAGGCGGUCCGUUAAGUCAGCGGUAAAAUUGCGGGGCUCAACCCCGUCGAGCCGUUGAAACUGGCAGACUUGAGUUGGCGAGAAGUACGCGGAAUGCGCGGUGUAGCGGUGAAAUGCAUAGAUAUCGCGCAGAACUCCGAUGGCGAAGGCAGCGUACCGGCGCCAGACUGACGCUGAGGCACGAAAGCGUGGGGAGCGAACAGGAUUAGAUACCCCUGUAGUC
Molecule: ribosomal RNA, 459 nt
Filed under: uncultured bacterium
Lineage: Bacteria
Description: partial 16S ribosomal RNA
Rfam family: Bacterial small subunit ribosomal RNA
Source: RNAcentral